GGAAGGAAGACAGACCUGCCCAUACUUUGAUUUUAGCUUCUGAGCUCCUGAAUGGUUUUAUCUCAGAUAAAUUUAGUGUCGGCUGAGUCUGCUGUGACAGCCCCUCUUUCGUUCCUGCUCUCCAAGUCUUUGCAGUCCUGUUUGGAUCUGACCUGCUAGGACUGGAGAUCCAGUUUUCAUUUGACUCUCUGCCUGCACGAACAGUGCUACAGAGGCAUUCUCCUGCAUAUUCUCCUGUGGACCAUGUGAAAAUUUGCCUUGGAGGAAAGAGUGCCAGCAGCUUGCUUGACGUCACCAUGCUGAAGAGCCUGGAUGUAAUUCGCUGGUAAGCCUGUG
This is a long non-coding RNA of Mustela erminea (ermine), 336 nucleotides long. RefSeq lists it as uncharacterized. The record is from RefSeq and is a predicted model, not a curated record. The transcript is spliced from 4 exons. Lineage: Eukaryota; Metazoa; Chordata; Mammalia; Carnivora; Mustelidae.